CCUACGGGAUGCUGCAGUGGGGAAUAUUGGACAAUGGGCGAAAGCCUGAUCCAGCCAUGCCGCGUGUGUGAAGAAGGCCUUCGGGUUGUAAAGCACUUUCAGUGGGGAAGAAAGCCUUGGGGCUAAUACCCUCGAGGAAGGACAUCACCCACAGAAGAAGCACCGGCUAACUCCGUGCCAGCAGCCGCGGUAAUACGGAGGGUGCGAGCGUUAAUCGGAAUUACUGGGCGUAAAGCGCGCGUAGGCGGUCUGAUAAGCCGGUUGUGAAAGCCCCGGGCUCAACCUGGGAACGGCAUCCGGAACUGUCAGGCUUGAGUGCAGGAGAGGAAGGUAGAAUUCCCGGUGUAGCGGUGAAAUGCGUAGAGAUCGGGAGGAAUACCAGUGGCGAAGGCGGCCUUCUGGACUGACACUGACGCUGAGGUGCGAAAGCGUGGGUAGCAAACAGGAUUAGAUACCCUAGUAGUC
RNAcentral lists this ribosomal RNA (465 nucleotides) under Vreelandella stevensii. RNAcentral's name for it is "partial 16S ribosomal RNA". It matches the Rfam family "Bacterial small subunit ribosomal RNA", at positions 338 to 795 of the family's 1533-position model. Lineage: Bacteria; Pseudomonadati; Pseudomonadota; Gammaproteobacteria; Oceanospirillales; Halomonadaceae. The record is from RNAcentral.